Molecule: ribosomal RNA, 465 nt
Filed under: uncultured bacterium
Lineage: Bacteria
Description: partial 16S ribosomal RNA
Rfam family: Bacterial small subunit ribosomal RNA
Source: RNAcentral
GACGAACGCUGGCGGCGUGCUUAACACAUGCAAGUCGAACGGAAAGGCCCCAGCUUGCUGGGGUACUCGAGUGGCGAACGGGUGAGUAACACGUGGGUGAUCUGCCCUGCACUCUGGGAUAAGCCUGGGAAACUGGGUCUAAUACCGGAUAGGACCGUGCUUUAGUGUGUGCGGUGGAAAGUUUUUCGGUGCAGGAUGAGCCCGCGGCCUAUCAGCUUGUUGGUGGGGUAAUGGCCUACCAAGGCGGCGACGGGUAGCCGGCCUGAGAGGGUGUACGGCCACAUUGGGACUGAGACACGGCCCAGACUCCUACGGGAGGCAGCAGUGGGGAAUAUUGCACAAUGGGCGAAAGCCUGAUGCAGCGACGCCGCGUGGGGGAUGACGGCCUUCGGGUUGUAAACCCCUUUCGGCAGGGACGAAGCUUUUGUGACGGUACCUGCAUAAGAAGCACCGGCUAACUACGUG